CAUUGAGGCAAUUUCUUCCCUAAUCUAUUCCUUUGUGCUGAACUUUUUUAAGUUUGACACUCUAGAUAUCCGUCUGCCUCAAGCAAAACAGUUGACAGAAAGCCAUGAACCCAUCAUGCCCUGAUUCAUAGGAAGUAAUUACUAAUAAUCCUAAUUCUGGUUCAUAGUUUGCUUGUCAGUAAUUACAGCUGCAGUUGAAUGCUUUCAGCAUUAACCAUCAGCCCAGAGUUGCAGCUCCCUCCUCAUCUCAGGGAAAUGGAACUUCUCACAUAUCACAGACAACUUGGAGGAAGCUCAGCUGGACCAGAAGAGCCAGAAAUUGGGAGCAUGCAAUGGCAGAUCAUCAGGGCAAGGCCACUCACCAGCAGGGAGGCCCAGUGAAUGCAGAGCAGGUGGCAACAGGAAAGACUGGAGGCCAGUCUGAUAGGAAGGCAAACACCAGCAAGAGGCAAUUCCGGGAUCAUUUAUGGGAAACCGAGGCAUGGUCUGCAGAGGCAACCGCCCCCCCACCGUCACUUCCAGAGAGAUGAACGGAGACUUGAUCUCUGAGAACCCAAUCUUCUCAACAAGUUGACAACAUGCUAAUAAGCAUAGUGUCUUACUCUGUAGCAGGUACUUUUACUUUAUGUGUUAUUAACUCUCCAUCUUCUCAACAAUCAUAUCAAGCAAGUGCUACUUCUAUCCCCGAUGUAUGUAUAAAUUUGUCCAACCAUGUAGCUCAUAAGCAAAUUAACUGUAAUUUCCAAACCUAGAUACACCGACCCUAGAAACUACACUCUCACAACUUUCCUACCCACCAACACCUCUUAAAGUUGAGGUGAGAACUAAGUAACAAGCACUUAUUAGCUGCAAAUUUCAGUGGAAAGCACUAGUCCAAGCAUUUGUUUGAAACCCCCCACACAAUUUGUACAACAACCCUAUGAGAUAGUGUGUCCGUCAGCAUUUGGUCACAAAAACAAAAGGUAUUUUGCAUGUUCUAAGUAUCCACAGUUCUAAUGCAGGAAAUUAGAGGUUUGCAGUCUUUUGGAAAGACUUAGCAAUGAAUUCAGGGAAGCCACCAGGACCUUUCUGCCUGCUGCUGUAUCUAUGCAAGUGGGAGUCGACACUCACCCAGAGGCCACUGAACACCUUAAGGGCCUCUGGGAGGGUCUCUCUGGCUUCUCAGCCAGCAUCCCUGAGAUAGGUGAUUCUUAGGCUUACCUGAAAGCCAUUAUAAAUCUCUUAUCUACCUGCCCACACACUUGCCUGCAACCAACUCCCUUAAAACAUAAUGGCUGCUGCUUCUCUCAUUUUAGGAAAAUCUCACCCAAGUCCCUCUCCUUGGCAGACUCUACACAAAGCCAUACACAAAAAGAUGUUCUAAGAACCAUAGUUAUUGGCUUCUCCACAGUACAGGGGAGACUUAGAAGGCAGUAAAGAUGCAUCAAGUUGAGAACAAAUGAUCUGGUAGAAUUAGGUAGAAUUCAUAUACCCAUUUUACAGUUGAUGAAACUGAGGCAGAGGCACAAAGCGGUUAAUCAAUUUACACCUAAUCACAUAACUUUAGUAAAUGAUAAAGCCAUGAUUCAAAUGUAGAGGGACUGGCUCCAUAAUCUAUGCUGUUGCCAUUGCAUGAGAUUGUUUUCAUGGAAGACUUAACUCAGCACAGCUUGGCACACCUGUUAGUGCUACACUCAUUGUGGUGGCUGGGUUUUAUUCUUAUUGAUACAUUUCUUGUGUUACUAUAUUUGUUUUUCUCAUAAUUAGCACAACUGGGAUUGCUCAGCUAAUACCCAUGGAAUGUUGAAUACCCCCACCCACAGUCUGCCCCAUAUCUCAAGGCAACCUAGACAGGUUUUCUUCCUCUAAUGAAUUAUCAUUAUGACUUAGUCCAAGAUUUCUAAAUAAUUACCAGUUCCAAAAAACCAGUAUCCACAGAUAUGUGCAUGAAUACAAGCAUACAUGCACACACAUAUGCACACACACACACACACACACACUCCGUCUUUAUGAGCAGCAACGUAACUGUAUUUCAAUGGAUGCAAUUGAUGAGGGCGAGUUCCAGGCGCUUCACCCAGGCAAUCCCGGCUGGCCAAUUAUUGCAGACAGCCUGCUCCCACCUAUUCACCACACAGAACACAUGUCAAAAUGCACUCGGAAACAACACUAGGCUGCAGCACACUGAGAAGGUGAGGCUGAGCAUCGGACUUGCUGACUUUGGGCUGCCCGGCAUUGCCCGGAACACGUGUGUGGUCUCUGAUUCCAUCUCUAGAUACUGCAGGGAAGGCUCUGUAAUUGGAAAAUGCUGCCCAAGCAGAAAGUCUGCCUUGCUUAAUAAACAGGGCUCUCUGAAGAUGUUCAAAAUUACCAGAGGAGAAACACAGCCUGGUGUUACCAUCAGUGUUCUAGAACUGGCUGAAAUUGAUCAAAGGUUUUAGCUGCGAUCUUUCUCCUACAGCUCAUUUAACCAUGCAAUUAGGCAGUUAAGUAGAUGCAAAAUAUUUAAAAUUAAAGAUGCUUCUCAUC
Molecule: long non-coding RNA, 2505 nt
Filed under: Pan troglodytes (chimpanzee)
Lineage: Eukaryota; Metazoa; Chordata; Mammalia; Primates; Hominidae
Description: lincRNA
Source: RNAcentral